Molecule: ribosomal RNA, 590 nt
Filed under: Halobacillus sp. TA49
Lineage: Bacteria; Bacillati; Bacillota; Bacilli; Caryophanales; Bacillaceae
Description: bacterial SSU rRNA
Rfam family: Bacterial small subunit ribosomal RNA
Source: RNAcentral
UUGAAAGAUGGCUUCUCGCUAUCACUUACAGAUGGGCCCGCGGCGCAUUAGCUAGUUGGUGAGGUAACGGCUCACCAAGGCGACGAUGCGUAGCCGACCUGAGAGGGUGAUCGGCCACACUGGGACUGAGACACGGCCCAGACUCCUACGGGAGGCAGCAGUAGGGAAUCUUCCGCAAUGGACGAAAGUCUGACGGAGCAACGCCGCGUGAACGAUGAAGGUCUUCGGAUCGUAAAGUUCUGUUGUUAGGGAAGAACAAGUACCGUGCGAAUAGAGCGGUACCUUGACGGUACCUAACGAGGAAGCCCCGGCUAACUACGUGCCAGCAGCCGCGGUAAUACGUAGGGGGCAAGCGUUGUCCGGAAUUAUUGGGCGUAAAGCGCGCGCAGGCGGUUCCUUAAGUCUGAUGUGAAAGCCCACGGCUCAACCGUGGAGGGUCAUUGGAAACUGGGGAACUUGAGGACAGAAGAGGAGAGUGGAAUUCCACGUGUAGCGGUGAAAUGCGUAGAUAUGUGGAGGAACACCAGUGGCGAAGGCGACUCUCUGGUCUGUUUCUGACGCUGAGGUGCGAAAGCGUGGGUAGCAAACAG